Molecule: ribosomal RNA, 385 nt
Filed under: uncultured Katablepharidophyta
Lineage: Eukaryota; Cryptophyceae; Kathablepharidacea
Description: partial small subunit ribosomal RNA
Rfam family: Eukaryotic small subunit ribosomal RNA
Source: RNAcentral
GCUUGUCUCAAAGAUUAAGCCAUGCAUGUCUAAGUAUAAACAAAUCUAUACUGUGAAACUGCGAAUGGCUCAUUAUAUCAGUUAUAGUUUAUUUGAUGGUUCUUGCUACUUGGAUAACCGUAGUAAUUCUAGAGCUAAUACAUGCACAAAAUCCCGACUUACGAAGGGAUGUAUUUAUUAGAUACAAACCAACAUCGUGGUGAUUCAUAAUAACUUUGCGAAUCGUAUGCCUCACGGCGACGAUGAAUCAUUCAAAUUUCUGCCCUAUCAGCUUUGGAUGGUAGGGUAUUGGCCUACCAUGGCUUUAACGGGUAACGGAGAAUUAGGGUUCGAUUCCGGAGAGGGAGCCUGAGAAAUGGCUACCACAUCCAAGGAAGGCAGCAGG